This 309-nucleotide unclassified non-coding RNA is filed under the name Hevea brasiliensis (rubber tree). The record is from RNAcentral. Lineage: Eukaryota; Viridiplantae; Streptophyta; Magnoliopsida; Malpighiales; Euphorbiaceae.
AACUAACAGCUGGUGCCUUAUCUAUCCUUUUGGUCUUUCUCUUUCUUCCAUGUACCGAAUCAGUAUAUCAUACUCGCAAACAACCAAGAAGUAAUUACUCCAAAGAACAAACUAAGCAACAAUUCCAAAGUAGCAAGCAAUAGAAAGAAGCUAAAGCAAUUACUCAAGCAUAAAUUCAACAAAAGUUCCAAAAACAAAGGCAACUGAAAGAAGUUACAUCAUUUACUCAAAAGCACAAAGCAAUAGAAAGAAGCUAAAGCGGCUAGACAAAAAGCACAAAUUUUCAGCAAGAAUUCUUACUGGCUUGAG